AGAGCCCUCUAUGGGCCCCUAAGCCUAUCGGUCUGUGUUAUUACUCUCAUGGUUUUCAGUUUUGCUGGCCAAGAAAAAAGACCCAAAGGAGUAACAUAUUAUUUUCUACAAAGAUGUUCUAAAACCACUCAGGCCUGUGAGUGAAAUGAUUUGCUGCACUGCAAGGGAGUAUCCAGUCCAGCCAGAAGAAGAGCCAAAAGCUCUCAACACCUCUUGACCAAGAAUGUGGUGAUCGAAUCGGACCUGUACACGCACCAGCCCCUGGAGCUGCUGCCCCACCGCGGAGACCGCAGGGACCCUGGCGACGGCCGCAGGUUCG
RNAcentral lists this small RNA (319 nucleotides) under Pongo abelii (Sumatran orangutan). RNAcentral's name for it is "processed transcript". The record is from RNAcentral. Lineage: Eukaryota; Metazoa; Chordata; Mammalia; Primates; Hominidae.